CAGCAGCCGCGGUAAUACGUAGGGGGCGAGCGUUAUCCGGAUUUACUGGGCGUAAAGAGCUCGUAGGCGGGGCCUCAAGUCAAAUGUGAAAGCUCCUGGCUUAACUGGGAGAGGUCGUUUGAUACUGGGGUCCUUGAGGGCAGGAGAGGGAGGUGGAAUUCCCGGUGGAGCGGUGGAAUGCGUAGAGAUCGGGAGGAACACCAGUGGCGAAGGCGGCCUCCUGGCCUGUGCCUGACGCUGAGGAGCGAAAGCUAGGGGAGCAAACGGGAUUAGAGACCCCGGUAGUCCUAGCCGUAAACGAUGGAUACUAGGUGUUGGGGGUAUUGACCCCCCCAGUGUCGCAGCUAACGCGUUAAGUAUCCCGCCUGGGGACUACGGCCGCAAGGCUAAAACUCAAAGGAAUUGACGGGGCCCCGCACAAGCAGCGGAGCGUGUGGUUCAAUUCGAUGCUACGCGAAGAACCUUACCUGGGUUUGACAUGUCCGUGGUAGAAAGGCGAAAGCUGGACGACCCUUCGGGGAGCGGACACAGGUGCUGCAUGGCUGUCGUCAGCUCGUGCCGUGAGGUGUUAGGUUAAGUCCUGUAACGAGCGCAACCCCUGUUGCAUGUUAUACGUGUCAUGCGAGACUGCCAAGGUAAAACUGGAGGAAGGUGGGGAUGACGUCAAGUCAGCAUGGCCUUUAUGUCCAGGGCGACACACACGCUACAAUGGCCGGUACAAUAGGUUGCCACACCGUGAGGUGGAGCUAAUCCUCAAAACCGGCCUCAGUUCGGAUUGGAGUCUGCAACUCGACUCCAUGAAGCUGGAGUUGCUAGUAACCGCGCGUCAGCCACAGUGCGGUGAAUACGUUCCCGGGGUUUGUACACACCGCCCGU
Molecule: ribosomal RNA, 876 nt
Filed under: uncultured bacterium
Lineage: Bacteria
Description: bacterial SSU rRNA
Rfam family: Bacterial small subunit ribosomal RNA
Source: RNAcentral